GACACCAUGGCAGAGUGGUCAAUUGCAAGAGCCUGCAAAGCUCUAAAAUCGUCGGUUCAAAUCCGACUGGUGUCUCCA
Molecule: transfer RNA, 78 nt
Filed under: Candidatus Altimarinota bacterium
Lineage: Bacteria; Candidatus Altimarinota
Description: tRNA-Cys
Rfam family: tRNA
About the family: Transfer RNA (tRNA) molecules are approximately 80 nucleotides in length.
Source: RNAcentral